This 878-nucleotide ribosomal RNA is filed under the name uncultured bacterium. RNAcentral's name for it is "bacterial SSU rRNA". It matches the Rfam family "Bacterial small subunit ribosomal RNA", at positions 26 to 896 of the family's 1533-position model. The record is from RNAcentral.
AGAACGAACGCUGGCGGCGUGGCUAAGGCAUGCAAGUCGAACGGACGUAUGGAAUAGGUAACUUGAACAUACGUUAGUGGCGAACGGGUGAGGAAUGCAUGGAUAACGUACCCCGGACUCGGGCAUAGCGGCGGAACCUUCGGGUUCCUUUGCGAAAGCGCCGGUAAUUCCCGAUAACCCCGCUGGAUCGCAUGGUCCGACGGGCAAAGCUUUUGCGGUUUGGGAGCGGUUCAUGUCUUAUCAGCUUGUUGGUGAGGUAACGGCUCACCAAGGCGACGACGGGUAUUGGGCGUGAGAGCGUGGCCCGACACAUCGGGACUGAGACACGGCCCGGACACCUACGGGUGGCUGCAGCAACGAAUAUUCCGCAAUGGACGAAAGUCUGACGGAGCGACGCCGCGUGCAGGAAGAAGUCCUUCGGGAUGUAAACUGCUGUCAGGGGUUAGGAAUACUGACCAGCCCCAAAGGAAGCACUGGCUAACUCCGUGCCAGCAGCCGCGGUAAUACGGAGAGUGCGAGCGUUGUUCGGAAUUACUGGGCUUAAAGCGCGUGUAGGCGGGGUGCCAGGUGUCGUGUGAAAGCCCCGGGCUCAACCCGGGAAUGGCACGGCAAACCGGCGCUCUUGAGGCAGGGAGAGGUGACUGGAACGACUGGUGGAGCGGUGAAAUGCGUAGAUAUCAGUUGGAACGCCGGAGGCGAAAGCGGGUCACUGGACCUGUUCUGACGCUGAGACGCGAAAGCGUGGGUAGCGAACAGGAUUAGAUACCCUGGUAGUCCACGCCGUAAACGAUGCGCACUAGGUAUGAGAGGUUCUGACGCCGAUCGUGCCGAAGCAAAAGUGAUAAGUGCGCCGCCUGGGGAGUACGGCCGCAAGGCUA